RNAcentral lists this ribosomal RNA (431 nucleotides) under uncultured bacterium. RNAcentral describes it as "partial 16S ribosomal RNA". It matches the Rfam family "Bacterial small subunit ribosomal RNA", at positions 29 to 506 of the family's 1533-position model. The record is from RNAcentral.
GCGAACGCUGGCGGCAGGCCUCACACAUGCAAGUCGCACGAACUCUUCGGAGUUAGUGGCGGACGGGUGAGUAACACGUGGGAACGUGCCUUUUGGUUCGGAAUAACUCAGGGAAACUUGUGCUAAUACCGAAUGUGCCCUUCGGGGGAAAGAUUUAUCGCCAUUAGAGCGGCCCGCGUCUGAUUAGCUAGUUGGUGAGGUAACGGCUCACCAAGGCGACGAUCAGUAGCUGGUCUGAGAGGAUGACCAGCCACACUGGGACUGAGACACGGCCCAGACUCCUACGGGAGGCAGCAGUGGGGAAUCUUGCGCAAUGGGCGAAAGCCUGACGCAGCCAUGCCGCGUGAAUGAUGAAGGUCUUAGGAUUGUAAAAUUCUUUCACCGGGGACGAUAAUGACGGUACCCGGAGAAGAAGCCCCGGCGAACUUCGU